This 469-nucleotide ribosomal RNA is filed under the name uncultured bacterium. RNAcentral describes it as "partial 16S ribosomal RNA". It matches the Rfam family "Bacterial small subunit ribosomal RNA", at positions 28 to 507 of the family's 1533-position model. The record is from RNAcentral.
GACGAACGCUGGCGGCGUGCUUAACACAUGCAAGUCGAACGGUGAAGCGAGUGCUUGCACUCGUGGAUCAGUGGCGAACGGGUGAGUAACACGUGAGUAACCUGCCCAUCACUCUGGGAUAAGCACUGGAAACGGUGUCUAAUACUGGAUACGACCAACCCUUGCAUGGGGUGUUGGUGGAAAGAUUUAUCGGUGAUGGAUGGACUCGCGGCCUAUCAGCUUGUUGGCGGGGUAAUGGCCCACCAAGGCGACGACGGGUAGCCGGCCUGGGAGGGUGACCGGCCACACUGGGACUGAGACACGGCCCAGACUCCUACGGGAGGCAGCAGUGGGGAAUAUUGCACAAUGGGCGAAAGCCUGAUGCAGCGACGCCGCGUGAGGGAUGACGGCCUUCGGGUUGUAAACCUCUUUCAGCAGGGAAGAAGCGAAAGUGACGGUACCUGCAGAAGAAGCACCGGCUAACUACGUG